GACGAACGCUGGUGGCGUGCUUAACACAUGCAAGUCGAACGGAAAGGCCCUGCUUGCAGGGUACUCGAGUGGCGAACGGGUGAGUAACACGUGGGUGAUCUGCCCUGCACUUCGGGAUAAGCCUGGGAAACUGGGUCUAAUACCGGAUAGGAGCCAUUUUUAGUGUGAUGGUUGGAAAGUUUUUUAGGUGUCGGAUGAGCUCGCGGCCUAUCAGCUUGUUGGUGGGGUAAUGGCCUAACAAGGCGGCGACGGGUAGCCGGCCUGAGAGGGUGGACGGCCACAGUGGGACUGAGAUACGGCCCAGACUCCUACGGGAGGCGGCAGUGGGGAAUAUUGCACGAUGGGCGCAAGCCGGAUGCGGCGACGCCGCGUGGGGGAUGACGGCCUUCGGGUUGUAAACCCCUUUCGCUAGGGACGAAGCAUUUUGUGACGGUACCUAGAGAAGAAGCACCGGCUAACUACGUG
Molecule: ribosomal RNA, 465 nt
Filed under: uncultured bacterium
Lineage: Bacteria
Description: partial 16S ribosomal RNA
Rfam family: Bacterial small subunit ribosomal RNA
Source: RNAcentral